Molecule: long non-coding RNA, 223 nt
Filed under: Gossypium barbadense (sea-island cotton)
Lineage: Eukaryota; Viridiplantae; Streptophyta; Magnoliopsida; Malvales; Malvaceae
Description: long non-coding RNA (GBAR_LNC015516)
Source: RNAcentral
CGGAAGCUUUCAAAUGGUUUUAAAGGUUGGCUAAGGUGAUGGUAAAUUUAUAAGGGUAGUAGGCUCGAUUUAAGGAUAAAAAUAAGAAAAAAAAUGGAAGUUGGUAAAUGAAGGCUCGGUUUUGUAAAAAGAUAUUAUAGUUGAGUAAAAUCUAGGAUAGACGGUGGAAUGGAUAAAUGAGCUUAAACACCAGAAACGAUUCAACACUAAAAAGUGUCACCCC